GUGGCACAGUUCUAGGAGGCUCAGAAAGUUUUUUGAGGGGAGCUUGUUGGAGGGAGAAAGUCACUAGGGUCCAGUCUGUGAGUGUUUGCACAGUAUUCAGUCUCUCUCUUCUGCUCUACCUCCUGCCUCCCAUGAGACGAGCAGCAUCCUUCUGAACGUAUUCUUACCACCACGGCAUUCUGCCUCAGCACAGGCCUAAAGUCAGUAGGGCUGAGGACAAGAGAUUGAACUCUUGGGAACUGUGAGAAAAAUAAUUUCCUCCUCUCUUAGGUUGUUUAUGUCAGAGCAACAAGAAAACCAUCCAAUAUAGAUGGGGUUCCAGGAGCCAGCAAAAGCAUCUGCGAAAUGAAGGACUGGAUAGAUGCUGAUCCUUUGAGGAGUCCAGGAGAUGAGCAGUGCUUGGAUGCAUCUCAAUCUUCACCCAGGAUCUCACAGGGAGCCUGGGGCAGAAAGCUCUAUGCAUUUCUGUCUUGGAGCAGCUAUGGAGUUCCUGUCUGCCCCACCAUCCCAGAGGCUGCCAGUCUUUCUCUAGGCACCCAUGGGUGUUCUCUCCAGGUCUGAGAAGGGUCUUCCCAGUGUCCCUGGGUGUGACAAUGUCCACUGUUAAUUUGAUGGGAUGUAGAACCACUUAGGAGGUAAACUUCUGAACGUGUCUGGGUUUUCUAGACCGAGUUAACUAGGGUGGGAGGAGCCACUCUGAGUGUGAGCAGCACCGGUCCAUGGGCUGGGUUGAAAGGAAACGGGGAGAGAGCGAGCUGAGCACAGACAUCCAUCUCUCCUCUGCUGACUGUGGCUCCUGUGGAGUAGCUGACUCCUGGUGCUGUGCCUGCCACGAUGGACUGCGGACUGCUCCCUCAAACUGUGAGCCCAAACCAACCCCGCCCUUUCUUAAACUGAUCUUGUCACAGUGGUGAGAAAAUAAUAAAACAGGUGUGACUUGGUCCUGGGGGGGGGGCCUUCCAGAAAACACUACUUCCUGUUUCUAGCAUUUGGAGUCCUAGGAGGUCAAAGAGAAACAGGUGUUCCCCCUUCCUUAAGCAGGUCUCUCUCCGUGUGACUGCAGAAUGGUCUCCUUGUCUAUUCCAUGUUUUCUCCAGUACUGGGGGCAGAUGACCACUUCCAGAGACUAUUGGCCACCUGAGAAGUGGGACUCAGAGCUGUCUGGGGCUGGCCAAGCCACCAGGCCACUAGCCAAAGGCUCCAGUCCAUGUGGUAGGUGACCUUGACUGCCUGGCCAGACAGAAUGAGGUGUCAGAGUGUCUGAGAGUCUUGGGUGUGGGGAGUUACGUUGAGCAGGGUCCACAGAACAGCUAACCUAGGGCUGGCUGGAGCAUGGUAAAGGUGCCCCCGGGUAGGAGAAACCCCUGCCAGCUGGCUCAAUGCCACACUUCUCAUGUCAGCCAGGCCCUGGGCAGGGGUGGAACUAUGCCAGGCCUGAGCUAUAAGAAGCAGACAUUCUGAAAGUGACUAUUGCAACAGCCUAGGUGUGACAGGGAGUCAACGGCCCAUGCUUAGAGGAAGAAUGGAGGAGUCCAGGGGCAGAGAGACAAAUGCAGGAAGGGGAUGAAGCUGGGGUCCCGUUACAGCCUUCCUGUCUCCUCAACCCAGUGAAGGGUCACCUCCCAGGCUGCCCUCCAUAUCAAUUGAACUGGUUCUCAACCCUGCAGUUACUGAACAUCCACAGGUGCUCUUAUUUGCCCAGUUCAGCUCCAUCCUCUGAGCACUGAGGGCUGAGAGCAGACCUAUGAAUUCCUGGCAGGCAAGACUUCCAGUGGAAGAAUUAAGACAGCAACCCAGCCACGAAAACCUUCAAUGCUUCAACGUACAAGAUGUGUUGGGACUGGUGACUCUCCCAAUUGUCAUCAGAGAGAUUUCACCCACCGACGGAUGGAAACAGAUGUAGAGACCACAGCCAAACGUCAGGUGGAGUUCAAGCAACCCUGCCAAAGAGGGAAAGGGAGGGUGGUAGGAGUCACAGGGUCAGAAACACCACAACCCAUAGAAUCAACCAACCUGAGACUGAAACACCAACCAGGGAGCCUGCAUGGGUCUGACCUAGACUCUCUCUGCACACAUGUUCUAGUUGUGUA
Long non-coding RNA from Mus musculus (house mouse), 2090 nucleotides. RefSeq annotates it as predicted gene, 33764. The record is from RefSeq and is a predicted model, not a curated record. The transcript is spliced from 3 exons. NCBI's taxonomy places the organism in Eukaryota, Metazoa, Chordata, Mammalia, Rodentia, Muridae.